UUUCCGUAGGUGAACCUGCGGAAGGAUCAUUACAGAGUUCAUGCCCUCUCGGGUAGAUCUCCCACCCUUGAAUAUUUAUACCUUAGUUGCUUUGGCAGGCCGUGGAAACACCAUGGGCUCCGGCUUAUGCGUGCCUGCCAGAGGAAACAAACUCUGUUUUUAGUGAUGUCUGAGUACUAUAUAAUAGUUAAAACUUUCAACAACGGAUCUCUUGGUUCUG
RNAcentral lists this unclassified non-coding RNA (220 nucleotides) under plant metagenome. RNAcentral describes it as "partial contains small subunit ribosomal RNA, internal transcribed spacer 1, and 5.8S ribosomal RNA". The record is from RNAcentral.